AUUUGUGCUGUUUGUUCUUUUUUUUUAGUUCUUUAUAUUCACUUCAUACAUAAAUAGGUUGACCAAAUAUUAACCUAAUACAAACACAGAGUAUUACGUUGUCAUCCUGAUAAGAAUCCAUAUGACAAGUCCACUACUCAGUUUCAAAAACUUCAGGAAGCUAAGGAGGUGCUCUGUGACCCAGAAAAGCGAAAUGAUUAUGGCAGAUGGAAAACAAGUGGAAUAACAAUUUCAUACAAGCAAUGGAUUGUCAUAAAUAAACGAUCUACUGCCGUUCUCCACUGGGCCAUACCAAAACAUGAACAAAAAAUGCUACGAUCAAGCAGUAGCAAGUCAGAGAUAAUAAAACUGAAACAAAGUAAGCUUUCACCUAAAAUUGGUUCACAAUAUUGUUCAUACAAUUCCAUCCUAGAAAAGUUUAGGAACUAUGAAA
Long non-coding RNA from Daphnia carinata, 433 nucleotides. RefSeq lists it as uncharacterized. The record is from RefSeq and is a predicted model, not a curated record. The transcript has 3 exons. Lineage: Eukaryota; Metazoa; Arthropoda; Branchiopoda; Diplostraca; Daphniidae.